GAUGAACGCUGGCGGCGUGCUUAACACAUGCAAGUCGAACGAAGCACUUAAGAUUGAUUCUUCGGAUGACGUCUUUUGUGACUUAGUGGCGGACGGGUGAGUAACGCGUGGGUAACCUGCCUCACACAGGGGGAUAACAGUUAGAAAUGACUGCUAAUACCGCAUAACCCGAUAGGAUCGCAUGAUCCAGACGGAAAAGAUUUAUCGGUGUGAGAUGGACCCGCGUCUGAUUAGCUAGUUGGUGAGGUAACGGCUCACCAAGGCAACGAUCAGUAGCCGGCCUGAGAGGGUGAACGGCCACAUUGGGACUGAGACACGGCCCAAACUCCUACGGGAGGCAGCAGUGGGGAAUAUUGCACAAUGGGGGGAACCCUGAUGCAGCGACGCCGCGUGAGUGAAGAAGUAUUUCGGUAUGUAAAGCUCUAUCAGCAGGGAAGAAAAUGACGGUACCUGACUAAGAAGCCCCGGCUA
Molecule: ribosomal RNA, 471 nt
Filed under: uncultured bacterium
Lineage: Bacteria
Description: bacterial SSU rRNA
Rfam family: Bacterial small subunit ribosomal RNA
Source: RNAcentral